Molecule: ribosomal RNA, 497 nt
Filed under: uncultured bacterium
Lineage: Bacteria
Description: partial 16S ribosomal RNA
Rfam family: Bacterial small subunit ribosomal RNA
Source: RNAcentral
GAUGAACGCUGGCGGCGUGCCUAAUACAUGCAAGUCGAGCGAACGGACGAGAAGCUUGCUUCUCUGAUGUUAGCGGCGGACGGGUGAGUAACACGUGGAUAACCUACCUAUAAGACUGGGAUAACUUCGGGAAACCGGAGCCAAUACCGGAUAAUAUUUUGAACCGCAUGGUUCAAAAGUGAAAGACGGUCUUGCUGUCACUUAUAGAUGGAUCCGCGCUGCAUUAGCUAGUUGGUAAGGUAACGGCUUACCAAGGCAACGAUGCAUAGCCGACCUGAGAGGGUGAUCGGCCACACUGGAACUGAGACACGGUCCAGACUCCUACGGGAGGCAGCAGUAGGGAAUCUUCCGCAAUGGGCGAAGGCCUGACGGAGCAACGCCGCGUGAGUGAUGAAGGUCUUCGGAUCGUAAAACUCUGUUAUUAGGGAAGAACAUAUGUGUAAGUAACUGUGCACAUCUUGACGGUACCUAAUCAGAAAGCCACGGCUAACUACGUG